RNAcentral lists this small RNA (573 nucleotides) under Pan troglodytes (chimpanzee). Its description in RNAcentral is "processed transcript". Lineage: Eukaryota; Metazoa; Chordata; Mammalia; Primates; Hominidae. The record is from RNAcentral.
AAGCAACAGGGAUGUCGUCUGGAAACAAAAUCUGGUAUUGAAGCGCAGGGAGACAAAACGUCCACCUCUAGAGCCGAGGCGGCGGUUGCCUGUCGCGUGCCCGUGGUCUUCUGCCUGCCCCCGGGCAUCUCGGGCCACGUCCGGCCCGGCCUCCGGCCGCGCUGCCCUAGCGGGCGUCACGGGGCAUGAAGAGCCCUGGGCGGCUGCGAGGGGGGGGUACCGGGGCAGCGGGGCGGUCGCUCGGGGCUCCCGCGCGGUGACUCUUGCUCUGCCGUCGAAGAGAACGGCCCUCGGGCGGGUCGCGGCCGCGGCUCCAGAGCCCCUGGGCCUCGCGCUCUGAGAGCCUGAGCCGCUUGAGGAGGCCAAGCGCCCACGAACCGCAUUCCCUGCCUUGCUAGUUAGUUCUCCAACACGCGAAAAAGGUAGACGAGGACUGGUUUUCUUUGCAGCUAAAAUGAAUCAAGCCUCUGAGCUUACAAUUGAGACUGCUAACCCCUACCUUUGAAGGGAUCAACGGAUUGUUGUUGAAACAACAUUUAGUUCAGAAUCCAGUCAGACUCUGGCAACUUUUAG